This 253-nucleotide ribosomal RNA is filed under the name uncultured bacterium. RNAcentral describes it as "partial 16S ribosomal RNA". It matches the Rfam family "Bacterial small subunit ribosomal RNA", at positions 524 to 776 of the family's 1533-position model. The record is from RNAcentral.
UACGAAGGGGGCUAGCGUUGCUCGGAAUCACUGGGCGUAAAGGGUGCGUAGGCUGUGCGGAAAGUUGGGUGUGAAAUCCCCCGGCUCAACCGGGGAAUUGCGCCCAAAACUACCGUGCUUGAGGAAGACAGAGGUGAGCGGAACUUCGGGUGGAGCGGUGAAAUGCGUUGAUAUCCGAAGGAACACCGGUGGCGAAAGCGGCUCACUGGGUCUUUUCUGACGCUGAUGCACGAAAGCUAGGGGAGCAAACGGG